AGAGUUUGAUCCUGGCUCAGGACGAACGCUGGCGGCGUGCUUAACACAUGCAAGUCGAGCGGAAAGGCCACUUCGGUGGUACUCGAGCGGCGAACGGGUGAGUAACACGUGAGUAAUCUGCCCUUCACUUCGGGAUAGCUCCGGGAAACCGGGAUUAAUACCGGAUAUGACUACCUUCGGCAUCGGGGGUGGUGGAAAGUUUUUUCGGUGGGGGAUGUGCUCGCGGCCUAUCAGCUUGAUGGUGGGGUAAUGGCCUACCAUGGCUUCGACGGGUAGCCGGCCUGAGAGGGUGACCGGCCACACUGGGACUGAGACACGGCCCAGACUCCUACGGGAGGCAGCAGUGGGGAAUAUUGGACAAUGGGCGGAAGCCUGAUCCAGCAACGCCGCGUGAGGGAUGACGGCCUUCGGGUUGUAAACCUCUUUCAGCACAGACGAAGCGAAAGUGACGGUAUGUGCAGAAGAAGGACCGGCCAACUACGUG
Molecule: ribosomal RNA, 484 nt
Filed under: uncultured Nocardioides sp.
Lineage: Bacteria; Bacillati; Actinomycetota; Actinomycetes; Propionibacteriales; Nocardioidaceae
Description: bacterial SSU rRNA
Rfam family: Bacterial small subunit ribosomal RNA
Source: RNAcentral